UACAAUGGAGAGUUUGAUCCUGGCUCAGGAUGAACGCUAGCGGCAGGCCUAAUACAUGCAAGUCGAGGGGUAGAGGAAGCUUGCUUCCUUGAGACCGGCGCACGGGUGCGUAACGCGUAUGCAACCUACCUUUAUCUGGGGGAUAGCCCGGAGAAAUCCGGAUUAACACCGCAUAAAACCACAGUACGGCAUCGUGCAAUGGUCAAACAUUUAUGGGAUGAAGAUGGGCAUGCGUGACAUUAGCUAGUUGGCGGGGUAACGGCCCACCAAGGCGACGAUGUCUAGGGGAUCUGAGAGGAUGGCCCCCCACACUGGUACUGAGACACGGACCAGACUCCUACGGGAGGCAGCAGUAAGGAAUAUUGGUCAAUGGAGGCAACUCUGAACCAGCCA
This 393-nucleotide ribosomal RNA is filed under the name Acinetobacter sp. RNAcentral's name for it is "bacterial SSU rRNA". It matches the Rfam family "Bacterial small subunit ribosomal RNA", at positions 1 to 394 of the family's 1533-position model. The record is from RNAcentral. Lineage: Bacteria; Pseudomonadati; Pseudomonadota; Gammaproteobacteria; Moraxellales; Moraxellaceae.